CGAUCCCAAAGUUGAACUCACGUAUAUAAUAAUUUUUAGACUUCUAUAUUUAACUUAAUGUGCAACGUAAAAUUAAAAUAAUUUCUAGAAUAGCCAAUUUUUAAUUAUUGGAAAUUGUGUAGAUAUGUUUAAUUUAUUAUUUUACUAUAAUGUUUAGUGCCACAUUUUUUUUUAAAUUUAGAAGAAAUAAAAUUUAUAAAACAAUUUUUUGCUUGUUAAAAAAUUCAUGUUAUCUUCAUACAACUUCUGUUAUUAGAAGUAAAUAUAAUUCUAAAGGACCUCCCUGGCGUAUAUUAUUUUUUGGGAAUGAUGAUUUUUCUGCUAAAAGCCUUCAAUUAUUGUCUGCUAAAAUGAAAACACAAACUAUCAUUUCUAAGUUAGAUGUAGUUACAACUUCAAAAGGGCGAGGAAUUAAUAUUAGAAAUAUAGCUAAAGAAGAAAAAUUAGUUACAUUAGAGUGGCCUGUGAGUAAAGUACAAUUAGAAAAACAAUAUGAUAUUGGGGUUGUUGUGUCAUUUGGUCGUUUAAUACCUGAAGAAAUAAUUAAUUUAUUUCCCCUUGGAAUGAUUAAUGUACAUGCUAGUCUUUUGCCUAGAUGGCGAGGUGCUGCACCUAUAGUUUAUACAAUUUUAAAUGGGGAUUUGGUAUCUGGCGUUACAAUUAUGAAAAUUCACCCAAAUAAGGUAUAUUGCUUUAGGUUUGAUGUUGGUGAAAUAGUACGACAGCAUAGUUGUGCAAUUGACCAGCAUGAAAUGGCUAAACAACUUAAAGAAAAAUUAGCUGAAAUGGGUGGAAAUUUAUUAGUGGAAUGUUUUAAAGAACUUAGAAAAAAUUUAAAGUAUGCAGUACCUCAACCUAAAUUUGGUAUAACUUAUGCUCCUAAAGUUGUUAAGUCCAUGGCUAUUGUUAAUUGGAAAACAUCAGAUUCAAAAGUGUUGUAUGAUAAGUUUCGAGCUCUUGAUGGUUUAUAUCCAUUAACAACCACAUGGCAAGGAAAACAGAUCAACUUGUACAAAAUUAGCUGUCUUCAUCAUAUUAAAAAUUUCAAUGAUUCAGUAGAACCAGGUUCAAUAUUAUGUGAUAAAAAGAAACGUACACUUAUUGUUAAGUGUGGUGGAAUAGAACACAAUAUUAUUACUGAAACACUUAAGCUAAAGACCUAAAGAAAUAUAAAGCUGAAGUCAUUGUCACUUUACCUCCAUGGGGAGGACCGUCGUAACAAAACCAUAAAACAUACAGUUUGGAGAAAAAUAUGUGUGUGAAUACGAAGGUGGCGGUCAAACGAUCUUUGAAUUGCCCCGAAAUAUUGCUCCCAACGUAACACACAUACUUAAAAGUGCUGAUCGAAAUGAAUUGUUCAAACUAGGAAAAUACUUUAAUAACAACAUAGUAAUACAGAAUAACUUUAUCAAUGGAAAACUGGAUUCCAUCACCACAUUUUUUUGUAGAUUAAAUAACAUUAAUUUAAAACUCAAACAAACUAAUAUAUAACUUUUCAGUCAAAAAAGAAAACAUAAUUAAUACUCGACAUGAUCAAAUUUUGCGAUUCAACUGAUAUAGACCAUUAUUAAUCUCGACUUCAAAAUAGACUGUUACAGAUUUUGACUUCAAGUUGUUACGUCGCUAUUUAGGGGUUGAGUCUAAACGCCCAUCGACAGUAUUCUAAGGGACCAACGGGAGAUAGCUGGCUAGGCUAUAUCUACCUAAGGUACUGAAGUUUCCUAUUUCAUUUAUAUUCCCUACAAUAUAUAUAUAUAACACUUUAGGUUAACAACGAUAUAAAUAAAUAUUUAUUAAGCAAUUGAAAUAUUAAAUAGAUGAUACAACCUGCUGGACACCUAGAGAUGAUAUAAUCCAACAGGGGGCUGACGGCGACACACACACUCUCUAUAUACGGAGUCGAAAGGUUAAGUUAAUUAUCAAACAAAAGUAGUGAUCGCGAAGAUGGUAAAAUGUCAACUGUCGAUAGGGAUAUCUUAUUAUGGCACAUUGGCCGUGAAUUGCAAAAGUGUUUAUGUGUGCAGUCUGCCCUCUUGUUGGUAUUGUUGUAUGUUACUGUGUUAAUAAUAUAUAUA
This is an RNA transcript of Daktulosphaira vitifoliae (grape phylloxera), 2075 nucleotides long. It is a transcript of the gene named methionyl-tRNA formyltransferase, mitochondrial-like, with no coding region annotated. The record is from RefSeq and is a predicted model, not a curated record. The transcript is spliced from 7 exons. NCBI's taxonomy places the organism in Eukaryota, Metazoa, Arthropoda, Insecta, Hemiptera, Phylloxeridae.